AUUGAACGCUGGCGGCAUGCCUUACACAUGCAAGUCGAACGGCAGCAUAGGAGCUUGCUCCUGAUGGCGAGUGGCGAACGGGUGAGUAAUAUAUCGGAACGUGCCCUAGAGUGGGGGAUAACUAGUCGAAAGACUAGCUAAUACCGCAUACGAUCUACGGAUGAAAGUGGGGGAUCGCAAGACCUCAUGCUCCUGGAGCGGCCGAUAUCUGAUUAGCUAGUUGGUGGGGUAAAAGCUCACCAAGGCGACGAUCAGUAGCUGGUCUGAGAGGACGACAAGCACAACUGGGACUGAGACACGGCCCAGACUCCUACGGGAGGAAGCAGUGGGGAAUUUUGGACAAUGGGGGCAACCCUGAUCCAGCAAUGCCGCGUGAGUGAAGAAGGCCUUCGGGUUGUAAAGCUCUUUUGUCAGGGAAGAAACGGUUCUGGAUAAUACCUGGGACUAAUGACGGUACCUGAAGAAUAAGCACCGGCUAACUACGUGCCAGCAGCCGCCGUAA
This 502-nucleotide ribosomal RNA is filed under the name uncultured bacterium. RNAcentral's name for it is "partial 16S ribosomal RNA". It matches the Rfam family "Bacterial small subunit ribosomal RNA", at positions 30 to 523 of the family's 1533-position model. The record is from RNAcentral.